UAAAUACUUCCUCCAUCCUAAAAUUAUUGUCUUAGAUUUAUCUAGAUACAGAUGUACCUAAUACUAAAAUGUAAUUUGAUACAUCCGUAUUUAAACAAAUCUAAGACAGAAAUUUUGGGACAGAGAGACUAAAAA
Molecule: non-coding RNA, 135 nt
Organism: Triticum aestivum (bread wheat)
Lineage: Eukaryota; Viridiplantae; Streptophyta; Magnoliopsida; Poales; Poaceae
Source: Rfam